UUUAUGAAUAUGUCUAGUCGCGCCCCUAAUUAGAUGAAUAAAUUUAUAGAUUUUAAUGUAUUCUCAAUAUAAAUGUAUAUUUCUCUUAAAUUAAUUAUUCUACAUGGACUUUAUUAUUUAUUCACUUUUGUUGGGCUGAAAAUUUAAUAAAAGCCCAUAGCAAUUUUAUUUUCACCAAUUCAUUUUCACUAUUCUUAAUUUGAGAUAGCAACGUGUUUCCUUCCGUUUAGCCACAAUUUGAUUUACUACUCAAGCCACUUAUUUAUUUAACCUUGAAUAGCAUGUACUCUUAUUUAUUAAGUAACCAAAUUAUUAUAUAUCAAAGAUUUCAUAUUAUUUAUCUUCACUGUUCUUUUUUUUUUAAAUUCCUUUUCAAAAUGAAAAUGUGCAAAAAAUCCCAUUUAUCCAACCACAACCGCCAUACUCCUCUUUAUCCCCAUUUAUCACCGCCAUACAUUUUUAUACAUAUAUCAGAUUCAUUCACCUAUAGUAUAUCAUUUCAUCCUUUUUCUACAUCUACAUCUCUAAUUUGCAAAACGUAAACUUAUCCAGCAAGAAAAUCAAGUUCUUUCCUUCCACUGUAGAGGUGCGGCGCGACUAGGACGUUACUUUUGAUUGAAUUUCUCAAAUUUAGCUUUCAAGUUGAAAUUCAAGUUCAAGUUCAAAAUUCAGGUGUGGGAUUUAUUUCAGUACAUGCCCGUGGUUAAUUCUUGUCCAUUUUAAUAUCAUGUGUUUACCAUAUGUGAGUUGCAUUAAAUUAUAUCGCUAGGGGCCCGCUCAAUGGGUCCAGGACAUUAAAGUCCUUGGUAUGCCACAAUGCGAUUUCAUGUUAAAGUUAUGGUUGCAACCAGUCGCCAGGGGCCGGCUCAAUCGGUCCAGGACGGAAAGGUCCUUGGUAUGCCACAGUGCGACUUUCAGUUACGAAUGUAUUGAUCAUAUGUGAUUCUCAUUUUAUUAACGUGUGGGAUUUAUUACAGUACAUGCCCGUGGUUAAUUCUUGUCCAUUUUAAUAUCAUGUGUUUACCAUAUGUGAGUUGCAUUAAAUUAUAUCGCUAGGGGCCCGCUCAAUGGGUCCAGGACAUUAAAGUCCUUGGUAUGCCACAAUGCGAUUUCAUGUUACAGUUAUGGUUGCAACCAGUCGCCAGGGGCCGGCUCAAUCGGUCCAGGACAUUAAAGUCCUUGGUAUGCCACCGUGCGACUUUCAGUCACGAAUGUAUUGAUCAUAUGAGAUUCUCAUUUUAUUAACAUGGACAAUGAUUGCAUGUUUCCACACUGAGUGUACCCUGUAUGCUCAUCCCAUACUUAACAUUUUCAGGUUUUAAAGACCGGAGGCGCGUGGAAGGUCGAAUGGCGAAUCAAAUAUUUUGAAUUUAGUUUUACUUAAAAAUGUUAUGUUUAGUAAAGUAUUUUAAAACAAGAUAUUUAUUUCACUAUUUUCUCGUUAAAUAUUUAUUUAUAGUCAUGAUUUUCCGCGUGCGUUUUCUUUUAAAAUUAAAAUGGAUUUGGGUGUCACAAGGUGGUAUCAGAGCAGGUCUACUUUCCUGUAGACUCUGCAAAAUAAAAUUCCUUACUAAUUUUAAAAGUCAUGUGUGACAAAUCCAUUCGACCUCUACGUGCUCCGACAUCAAGGUAAAGAUAUUUCAAAUAUUUUUGAAGGGGGUGAGUAUAAAUUGUUUACGUUGAAAGUAUGUUGAAAUUUGCUGCAAUGAUUGAAGUUAUUAUCAGAAAGUUCAAGUUCAAAUUCAGUAUUCAAGUUAUUAUUUUGAAGAUUAUUGCAGCUAUGAAUUGUCAAAUUUCGAGGACGAAAUUUUUUUAAGUGGGUAGGUUUGUCACAGCCCAAAACCGUUUAGUUCCUUUGCAAUUUUUAUUUGAAAAUUAGUAUAUUUUUGAGUUAUUAUUAUAUAUAUAUAUAUCUAUGAGUCGAAUUUAUGAAUAUGUCUAGUCGCGCCCCUAAUUAGAUGAAUAAAUUUAUAGAUUUUAAUGUAUUCUCAAUAUAAAUGUAUAUUUCUCUUAAAUUAAUUAUUCUACAUGGACUUUAUUAUUUAUUCACUUUUGUUGGGCUGAAAAUUUAAUAAAAGCCCAUAGCAAUUUUAUUUUCACCAAUUCAUUUUCACUAUUCUUAAUUUGAGAUAGCAACGUGUUUCCUUCCGUUUAGCCACAAUUUGAUUUACUACUCAAGCCACUUAUUUAUUUAACCUUGAAUAGCAUGUACUCUUAUUUAUUAAGUAACCAAAUUAUUAUAUAUCAAAGAUUUCAUAUUAUUUAUCUUCACUGUUCUUUUUUUUUUAAAUUCCUUUUCAAAAUGAAAAUGUGCAAAAAAUCCCAUUUAUCCAACCACAACCGCCAUACUCCUCUUUAUCCCCAUUUAUCACCGCCAUACAUUUUUAUACAUAUAUCAGAUUCAUUCACCUAUAGUAUAUCAUUUCAUCCUUUUUCUACAUCUACAUCUCUAAUUUGCAAAACGUAAACUUAUCCAGCAAGAAAAUCAAGUUCUUUCCUUCCACUGUAGAGGUGUGGCGCGACUAGGACAUGGAUUUUAGUUUGAAUUAUCAGAAUUAACUUUCAAGUUCAAGUUCAAGUUCAAAAUUCAGGUUUUAAAGACCGGAGGCGCGUGGAAGGUCGAAUGGCGAAUCAAAUAUUUUGAAUUUAGUUUUACUUAAAAAUGUUAUGUUUAGUAAAGUAUUUU
This is a long non-coding RNA of Salvia miltiorrhiza (redroot sage), 2686 nucleotides long. RefSeq lists it as uncharacterized. NCBI's taxonomy places the organism in Eukaryota, Viridiplantae, Streptophyta, Magnoliopsida, Lamiales, Lamiaceae. The transcript has 5 exons. The record is from RefSeq and is a predicted model, not a curated record.